RNAcentral lists this long non-coding RNA (213 nucleotides) under Gossypium barbadense (sea-island cotton). RNAcentral's name for it is "long non-coding RNA (GBAR_LNC014158)". Lineage: Eukaryota; Viridiplantae; Streptophyta; Magnoliopsida; Malvales; Malvaceae. The record is from RNAcentral.
ACUAAUCGGUCUAAAAUUUUCCAUACUAAUAGGAUUAGGAAUUUUUGAAAUAAGAACUAUAUUUGUAACAUUCAUAGGUUUCAAAUCCAUCCCAUUAUUAAGAACUCCUAAACAAUAUUGGCUUACCUCUUUACCCACAAUAUGCCAGCAUCUUUGAAAAAGGAUAGUUAGAAAACCAUCAGCUCCUAGUGCCUUGGUGGGACCCAUAUUUCU